GUCUUCGUGGUGUAGUGGUCAGUACACUCGGCGCGAAACCGAGAUGUCCGUGGUUCGAUUCCCGGUGAAGGCG
Molecule: non-coding RNA, 73 nt
Organism: Stegodyphus mimosarum
Lineage: Eukaryota; Metazoa; Arthropoda; Arachnida; Araneae; Eresidae
Source: Rfam